GCGGCCCCGCACAAGCAGCGGAGCGUGUGGUUUAAUUCGAUGCUACACGAAGAACCUUACCAGGGUUUUGACAUACAAGUAGUAGGGAAAGGAAACUGGACCGACCCUUCGGGGAGCUUGAACAGGUGCUGCAUGGCUGUCGUCAGCUCGUGUCGUGAGAUGUUCGGUUAAGUCCGCUAACGAGCGCAACCCUCGCUGUGUGUUACAAGUGUCACACGGAACUGCCGGUCAUAAACCGGAGGAAGGUGGGGAUGACGUCAAGUCAGCAUGGCCUUUAUAUCCUGGGCUACACACACGCUACAAUGGGAAGGGACAAUAGGUUGCGAAACCGCGAGGUGGAGCCAAUCCAGCAAAACUUCCCUCAGUUCAGAUUGCAGGCUGCAACUCGCCUGCAUGAAGUUGGAGUUGCUAGUAAACGCAGGUCAGCCAUACUGCGUUGAAUACGUUCCCGGGGCUU
RNAcentral lists this ribosomal RNA (457 nucleotides) under uncultured Anaerolineaceae bacterium. RNAcentral describes it as "bacterial SSU rRNA". It matches the Rfam family "Bacterial small subunit ribosomal RNA", at positions 915 to 1382 of the family's 1533-position model. The record is from RNAcentral. Lineage: Bacteria; Bacillati; Chloroflexota; Anaerolineae; Anaerolineales; Anaerolineaceae.